UACGUAGGGUCCUAGCGUUAUCCGGAAUCAUUGGGCGUAAAGAGCUCGUAGGCGGUUCAGCAAGUCGGCUGUGACAGUCAGAGGCUCAACCUCGGAAUUGCAGUCGAUACUGCUGUGACUCGAGUCCGGUAGAGGAGAAUGGAAUUCUCGGUGUAGCGGUGAAAUGCGCAGAUAUCAAGAGGAACACCAGUAGCGAAGGCGGUUCUCUGGGCCGGCACUGACGCUGAUGAGCGAAAGCGUAGGUAGCGAACAGG
RNAcentral lists this unclassified non-coding RNA (254 nucleotides) under uncultured Acidimicrobiia bacterium. RNAcentral's name for it is "contains 16S-23S intergenic spacer region". It matches the Rfam family "Bacterial small subunit ribosomal RNA", at positions 524 to 776 of the family's 1533-position model. Lineage: Bacteria; Bacillati; Actinomycetota; Acidimicrobiia. The record is from RNAcentral.